Molecule: ribosomal RNA, 485 nt
Filed under: uncultured bacterium
Lineage: Bacteria
Description: bacterial SSU rRNA
Rfam family: Bacterial small subunit ribosomal RNA
Source: RNAcentral
AUUGAACGCUGGCGGCAGGCCUAACACAUGCAAGUCGAGCGGUAACAGUCCUUCGGGAGCUGACGAGCGGCGGACGGGUGAGUAACGCGUAGGAAUCUACCCAGUAGAGGGGGAUAGCCCGGGGAAACUCGGAUUAAUACCGCAUAAACUCUAUGGAGCAAAGGGGGCUUCGGCUCUCGCUACUGGAUGAGCCUGCGUGGGAUUAGCUAGUUGGUGAGGUAAUGGCUCACCAAGGCGACGAUCUCUAACUGGUCUGAGAGGAUGAUCAGUCACACUGGAACUGAGACACGGUCCAGACUCCUACGGGAGGCAGCAGUGGGGAAUAUUGCACAAUGGGCGAAAGCCUGAUGCAGCCAUGCCGCGUGUGUGAAGAAGGCCUUAGGGUUGUAAAGCACUUUCAGUAGGGAGGAAGGUCAAGUAGUUAAUACCUGCUUGGAUUGACGUUACCUACAGAAGAAGCACCGGCUAACUCCGUGCCAGCAGCC